GCGCCCGAGCAGCGCUUCCGCCCUCACUGCCCUUAAAGGGGCCGCAGCCGCCCUCAGGGACACCGCGGGGACACCGCGGGGACACCUGUGAGGGACGGAGCCUCCUCUUGCCCCCUGAACCUGCCCCUCGUGAUCCAGGGGAAACCUCAGGUUCCAAUAAACCCACCCCUUUCCCCUGUCCCAGGGUGGAACCCGCACGGCAGCGGCUCAGGGACGGCCCGGACCCCACAGCCAGCCCGGGCCCGAGCAUCCCGCACCUGUGUGGGGCCACCUUCGUCUUUCACCCUGACCCUUCAUCUUCCCACGGGAGGCAGCGGCUCUGCGGCUCGGGGCAGGGCAGAACCGGCUCGUUCGGCACAGGUUGAUCCGGUUCCAGAUCUAACGGGCCUGGAAGAGCUGGUUCAGCGCAGUCGGGAUCCAAAUCCGAACGCUUUUAUCCCAGGAGAAGGUAAAGCCGCUGGGUGUUCUCCAGGCUCCAGGGAGGUGCUGUGCCGUUUCCGCGGUGUUCCACACUCCUGAGGGAGUGGAGUUGGUGUCAGAACAUCGCUGGAGCAGCUCCUGUUCCAGCAGGAAUUCCGAGCUUGGAGCGCCACGAAGAUUGGAGCCCAGACGAUUCACAGGCUCAGCACUGCUCAGUGCCAAACGCACCAAAACCUUUUUGCCUGAGGGAAAUCCACAUCUCGCCAAGGCCUCCGGAGCCCCGCGGCGGAGCGAGGGAAGCGUGGAGCCCGGAGCCAGCGCUCCCCGAGUGCCUCUGUGCGUC
Cyanistes caeruleus (blue tit) is the source of this 763-nucleotide long non-coding RNA. RefSeq lists it as uncharacterized. NCBI's taxonomy places the organism in Eukaryota, Metazoa, Chordata, Aves, Passeriformes, Paridae. The record is from RefSeq and is a predicted model, not a curated record.